This is a long non-coding RNA of Astatotilapia calliptera (eastern happy), 1513 nucleotides long. Lineage: Eukaryota; Metazoa; Chordata; Actinopteri; Cichliformes; Cichlidae. The record is from Ensembl.
AGUGACUUUCAGGAGAGGAAGCAUGGCAGACAAGAGAAGUGCAGAUUUGGAAGUUGGGGCUUUCCAGAGGCCAACAGAGGAGAUUGUGGACAACAGACGGGCACCUGAAGGAUGAGGGGAGCGUGCCAAGCUCCAUCGACAUCGCAGAGGGAGUCUAAGGAUGGCAUCAUGAUUCUGUGAAAGCACAGGAACCAGAAGCUAUGGUGGUGAUGACAGCAGUUUCCUAUGAACAUCACCUAAUGCUGUGUCACUAUAUUGUGCAUACGAUGACACUCUGAAGGCUGCUGGGAUCACAACAGCAGUAAGAUAACUGAACCCAGCACCCUUUCCACAGAGGGGUUUUUCUGCAGAGCGUGGACAAUGGAAGAGUCAUAAGUAUCCCCCUCGCAGGACGAAGGCCUGAAGUGAGGUGAUGGGGGUUGGUAGAGGCCAUAAAACUUGAGUGCUGACAGGUCUGCAGCUUUCACGAUAAGCUGAGACCCAUGGUGACAAACAACAAAACCAACUGGUAUGUUUGAAUGUUUAUUCUACAUACAUUUGGACUCUGGUCCUAUGGACAGUGAUGGAAACAACUGGAAGAGACAUUUAUGACACCCUGCAGAACUAAAACCACUCUGCACAGAUGAUGAGUGAUCACUGCAAAGCUGAGAUGUUUUUGAAAAUGUUACUUUCUUAUUUUAACUAUUAAAUUAACAGUUCAUUUGUUUGCUCGUAGGGUGCAUAGUGCCAUUGGAUGAGAUCAAUGAUGAAUGGGAUAACUGCUAAUACAUUUGUUAAACUGUGUACUUUUACAGUAAUUUAGGGUGAUUGACAUAUGCUGAGUAUAAAAAUGUUUGCAUUGAAACUGUCAGACAUGAGGUAUUCAUAACUGGGAACUUUUCUAGCAUAAAGGUCAAAAAUGGGGGAAUGUUAGGUUUUGUAUUGUUGAUUGUCAUUUAUGCUUACAAAUAUUUAACCAUAUAUGCUUAGAGGUGUAUAAUCAAUUGUGUAGUGAUAGGAUGUGUGAUCUUUAACAGGCUGCAAAGGCUUGGUGUGUAUUCCACACUGGAAUGCACACCUUCAAAACUUACAUUUAACUACUGAUUUUAUCUAUUGUUCUGAUUUUAUCUGUUUUGAUUUUAUAUACUGUUGUGUUUGUUUGUUAAUUAGUUUGUUUGUUUGCUUGUUUUAAUCAAUUUUAAAUCAUGCUUUUUAUUUGUUUUUGUUUCUAAUGUCUCUAUAAAGCACUUUGAAUCACCUUGUUGUUGAAUUGUGCUAUACAAAUAAACUUGCCUUGCCUUGCCUACAUCCUGGGAGCAUGAGAAGAGGUCGUACCUUGUUUUAUUGUUUUAUGGUAGGAUAAACGUGGCUAUAUCUGUUUUAGGCUAAGUGCCUUUUGUUUAGAUGAACUGUUGGACUUCCAGACCAGCAGGUUUAGGGAAGUCAUUUAUGGGGUCACACUCUGACCCCACACACACACACACACACACACACACACACACACACACACACACACACACACACACACACACAG